This 73-nucleotide transfer RNA is filed under the name Apaloderma vittatum (bar-tailed trogon). It matches the Rfam family "tRNA". From Rfam's summary of the family: Transfer RNA (tRNA) molecules are approximately 80 nucleotides in length. Their secondary structure includes four short double-helical elements and three loops (D, anti-codon, and T loops). The record is from Rfam by way of RNAcentral. Lineage: Eukaryota; Metazoa; Chordata; Aves; Trogoniformes; Trogonidae.
GGCCAGUUAGCUCAGUCGGUUGAGCGUGGUACCGAUAACACCAAGGUCAUGGGUUCGAUCCCCGUUCCGUCCC